RNAcentral lists this ribosomal RNA (465 nucleotides) under uncultured bacterium. RNAcentral describes it as "partial 16S ribosomal RNA". It matches the Rfam family "Bacterial small subunit ribosomal RNA", at positions 28 to 507 of the family's 1533-position model. The record is from RNAcentral.
GACGAACGCUGGCGGCGUGCUUAACACAUGCAAGUCGAACGGAAAGGCCCUGCUUGCAGGGUACUCGAGUGGCGAACGGGUGAGUAACACGUGGGUGAUCUGCCCUGCACUUCGGGAUAAGCCUGGGAAACUGGGUCUAAUACCGGAUAGGAGCCAUUUUUAGUGUGAUGGUUGGAAAGUUUUUUCGGUGUAGGAUGAGCUCGCGGCCUAUCAGCUUGUUGGUGGGGUAAUGGCCUACCAAGGCGGCGACGGGUAGCCGGCCUGCGAGGGUGGACGGCCACAUUGGGACUGGGAUACGGCCCAGACUCCUACGGGAGGCAGCAGUGGGGAAUAUUGCACAAUGGGCGCAAGCCUGAUGCAGCGACGCCGCGUGGGGGAUGACGGCCUUCGGGUUGUAAACUCCUUUCGCUAGGGACGAAGCUUUUUGUGACGGUACCUAGAUAAGAAGCACCGGCUAACUACGUG